AUUUACGCUUUGGAGGUCUGAUGGCAGUGCUGCUGUUUGCCUUUGAUGCUGUUUAUCUUUCUUCUCAGUUGCUGCACCAACUCCGGCCUGGGAUGUCUGAUGAAGCUGAUCAAGUGCCUUUGGUGAUUUCUUUCCUGUGUGCUAAAGGGUUUAAUGGUUUUGCUAGCUGGCUGAGUGGUUUCCUAGGGCUAGUGCUCUAACGGUUUAGAUUGAUUUUUGGGGCUGGCUUAUGAGCUUUGACCUUUAUGUAUAUGACUUUGUCGCUAUUGUUAUAUCUACCCUUUGUGGCUUUUG
Molecule: unclassified non-coding RNA, 294 nt
Filed under: Hevea brasiliensis (rubber tree)
Lineage: Eukaryota; Viridiplantae; Streptophyta; Magnoliopsida; Malpighiales; Euphorbiaceae
Source: RNAcentral